UACGGAGGGGACUAGCGUUGUUCGGAAUGACUGGACGUAAAGAGCGCGUAGGCGGAUCAGAAAGUUGGGGGUGAAAUCACGGGGCUAAACCUCGGAAUGGCCUUCAAAACUCCUGGUCUUGAGUUCGAGAGAGGUGAGUGGAAUUCCGAGUGUAGAGGUGAAAUUCGUAGAUAUUCGGAGGAACACCAGUGGCGAAGGCGGCUCACUGGCUCGACACUGACGCUGAGGUGCGAAAGCGUGGGGAGCAAACAGG
Molecule: ribosomal RNA, 253 nt
Filed under: uncultured bacterium
Lineage: Bacteria
Description: partial 16S ribosomal RNA
Rfam family: Bacterial small subunit ribosomal RNA
Source: RNAcentral